UAGGGAAUCUUCCACAAUGGACGCAAGUCUGAUGGAGCAACGCCGCGUGAGUGAAGAAGGUUUUCGGACCGUAAAGCUCUGUUGUUGGUGAAGAAGGAUAGAGGUAGUAACUGGCCUUUAUUUGACGGUAAUCAACCAGAAAGUCACGGCUAACUACGUGCCAGCAGCCGCGGUAAUACGUAGGUGGCAAGCGUUGUCCGGAUUUAUUGGGCGUAAAGCGAGCGCAGGCGGAAGAAUAAGUCUGAUGUGAAAGCCCUCGGCUUAACCGAGGAAUUGCAUCGGAAACUGUUUUUCUUGAGUGCAGAAGAGGAGAGUAGAACUCCAUGUGUAGCGGUGGAAUGCGUAGAUAUAUGGAAGAAUACCAGUGGCGAAGGCGGCUCUCUGGUCUGCAACUGACGCUGAGGCUCGAAAGCAUGGAUAGCGAACAGGAUUAGAUACCCUGGUAGUCCAUGCCGUAAACGAUGAGUGCUAAGUGUUGGGAGGCUUCCGCCUCUCAGUGCUGCAGCUAACGCAUUAAGCACUCCGCCUGGGGGAGUACGACCGCAAGGUUGAAAC
RNAcentral lists this ribosomal RNA (555 nucleotides) under uncultured bacterium. Its description in RNAcentral is "partial 16S ribosomal RNA". It matches the Rfam family "Bacterial small subunit ribosomal RNA", at positions 355 to 900 of the family's 1533-position model. The record is from RNAcentral.